GCUAGGAUGAACGCUAGCUACAGGCUUAACACAUGCAAGUCGAGGGGCAGCAUGAUCGAAGCUUGCUUUGAUUGAUGGCGACCGGCGCACGGGUGAGUAACGCGUAUCCAACCUUCCCUAUAGUAGAGGAUAGCCCGGCGAAAGUCGGAUUAAUACUCUAUGUUUUUCCGAAGCAGACAUCUAAUUUGGAACAAAGGUUUACCGCUAUAGGAUGGGGAUGCGUCUGAUUAGGUUGUUGGCGGGGUAACGGCCCACCAAGCCUACGAUCAGUAGGGGUUCUGAGAGGAAGGUCCCCCACAUUGGAACUGAGACACGGUCCAAACUCCUACGGGAGGCAGCAGUGAGGAAUAUUGGUCAAUGGGCGAGAGCCUGAGCCAGCCAAGUAGCGUGCAGGAUGACGGCCCUAUGGGUUGUAAACUGCUUUUAUACGGGGAUAAAGUGAGGGACGUGUCCCUUAUUGUAGGUACCGUAUGAAUAAGGACCGGCUAAUUCCGUGCCAGCAGCUGC
RNAcentral lists this ribosomal RNA (507 nucleotides) under uncultured bacterium. RNAcentral describes it as "bacterial SSU rRNA". It matches the Rfam family "Bacterial small subunit ribosomal RNA", at positions 26 to 518 of the family's 1533-position model. The record is from RNAcentral.